Molecule: ribosomal RNA, 342 nt
Filed under: uncultured bacterium
Lineage: Bacteria
Description: bacterial SSU rRNA
Rfam family: Bacterial small subunit ribosomal RNA
Source: RNAcentral
AUUGAACGCUGGCGGCAUGCCUUACACAUGCAAGUCGAACGGCAGCGGGCCUUCGGGUGCCGGCGAGUGGCGAACGGGUGAGUAAUGCAUCGGAACGUGCCAUUGAGUGGGGGGAUAACGUAGCGAAAGUUACGCUAAUACCGCAUAUUCUGUGAGCAGGAAAGCAGGGGACCGCAAGGCCUUGCGCUCUUUGAGCGGCCGAUGUCAGAUUAGCUAGUUGGUGAGGUAAAGGCUUACCAAGGCGACGAUCUGUAGCGGGUCUGAGAGGAUGAUCCGCCACACUGGAACUGAGACACGGUCCAGACUCCUACGGGAGGCAGCAGUGGGGAAUUUUGGACAAUA